Molecule: ribosomal RNA, 512 nt
Filed under: uncultured bacterium
Lineage: Bacteria
Description: bacterial SSU rRNA
Rfam family: Bacterial small subunit ribosomal RNA
Source: RNAcentral
AGAGUUUGAUCCUGGCUCAGGAUGAACGCUGGCGGCGUGCUUAACACAUGCAAGUCGAACGGAGUUUUUAAACGGAAGUUUUCGGAUGGAAGUUUAAGAACUUAGUGGCGGACGGGUGAGUAACGCGUGGGUAACCUGCCUCAUACAGGGGGAUAACAGUUAGAAAUGACUGCUAACACCGCAUAAUAUAGUAGAAACCGCAUGUAUUUUGCUAUCAAAUAUUUAUAGGUAUGAGAUCGGGCCCGCGUCUGAUUAGCUAGUUGGUGGGUAAAAGCCUACCAAGGCGACGAUCAGUAGCCGGCUUGAGAGAGUGACCGGCCACAUUGGGACUGAGACACGGCCCAAACUCCUACGGGAGGCAGCAGUGGGGAAUAUUGGACAAUGGGGGAAACCCUGAUCCAGCCGACGCCGCGUGAGUGAAGAAGUAUUUCGGUAUGUAAAGCUCUAUCAGCAGGGAAGAUAAUGACAGUACCUGACUAAGAAGCCCCGGCUAACUACGUGCCAGCCGCCGC